AGAGUUUGAUCAUGGCUCAGAUUGAACGCUGGCGGCAUGCCUAACACAUGCAAGUCGAACGGCAGCACAGUGGUAGCAAUACCAUGGGUGGCGAGUGGCGGACGGGUGAGUAAUGCAUCGGGACCUACCUGAACGUGGGGGAUAACGUAGGGAAACUUACGCUAAUACCGCAUACGUCCUACGGGAGAAAGCGGGGGACCUUCGGGCCUCGCGCGGUCAGACGGACCGAUGUUCGAUUAGCUAGUUGGUAAGGUAAUGGCUUACCAAGGCGACGAUCGAUAGCUGGUCUGAGAGGAUGAUCAGCCACACUGGAACUGAGACACGGUCCAGACUCCUACGGGACGCAGCAG
Molecule: ribosomal RNA, 350 nt
Filed under: uncultured bacterium
Lineage: Bacteria
Description: bacterial SSU rRNA
Rfam family: Bacterial small subunit ribosomal RNA
Source: RNAcentral